UGGCUGGCUUGUCCCUGGUCCUGGUCGGGGCAAUGUCUCGGCCAACCUACACAGAAAUGGGGUCUUUCACCCACAUAUCCCAGGGCCUGUCUCACACCUCCAUCCUCCUCAUAGUGGUGGGCAUCAUCGUCUCCCUGCAGGUCUUCCUGGGUAGCAUUGGGGCGUGGUCUGACAGCCGUCUGCUCCUUGGAUUGCCUGCAGAUAGUGUCUGGGAUUCUCUUCUAUGUCUUCAGAAACAAGGUGGAGAGAAGGAUCACACUGAAACUUAAUGCGGUGAUCAUGCAGCACAGCCCCAGGGAUAAGGUUGCCAUCAAUGACCUACAACAUGCAGGCUUUGUGCAGGUGAUCAAAGAGUCCCUGAAGAGGAACCUGGUGUGGCUGGGUGCCGCCUGCAUCAUACUGGGUCUCAUAGAGCCUCUGGUCUGAAGGAUGGUGAAGGACGACAUAGAACUGAUAAGACCUCAUUCGGCACUAGGAUUGGCCUACUUUAGUGGUCCCUGUGGUCAGUGGUACAGCGGAGAUCUAUCUGAGAGGUCCGCUUGGCAGAGGGUUUGCUGUGCAGAAGGACCUGUUUUUUUUUUGUGUGUGAUUAUUAUUAGUUGCGCUGCACGUUGACCAUGAACGUCUGGUCUGGAGAGUCUGUCUGUCUCUCCCCAAGGCCUUCCAACAUACAGCUCAACAUGUGCAGCAGGACAGAUGGAACCACCCCCAACAAAAAGAGGAAGAAAAAAACCUCAGGAUUGAAGGAAGGAAAUUAGAAAAUGCGGUCUUAUGCCCUUACCAUAACCACACAACGCUAAGAGUUGCUCAAUCAAUUUGUACUGAUAGUGUGGGCUAAAGUUUUCAACGAGAUGACAUUUCUUUUUCUGAUAUGACUGGUUUAGAGGGCUAGUAGUAAUGUAGUAAUGUCCCAGAAGGAUCUGAUGAGUGGUGCGAGACUGGACAUGACGUUAGGGGGUUGUUGCUUUUCCGAAAAGCUUUGUAGAAAGUGACUCUUCUACUGUUAGUAACUCUUAUGCUGAGUGUUUUUGGAAGGAGAAUAUGUAGAAUGGAUGUGAAUAUUAGUGGGUGUUGUGUGUCUGCUAGAAUAUGGGUUAUUUAUGAGUGUGUGCAUAUGAUAUGGGUGUGUGUGUGUUUAACUCGCACCUCCUUGACGAGGCGCCUCCACCAUUUCUCUCUCUCUCUCUCUUUGGGCAGGGCUCAGAUGGAAGUGAUUACGCUGCACAGGGAGGGAGAAAUUACAGAGAGAACCUACAGAGCUCCAGCCCUUCUCCUUUAUCCACUCACUCAUUCACUCACUUACACAUACAGGCACGCAAUCACAUGCACAGGAACACAUGCCCUGCCGCCAGUUCCACCACCUUGCUUCUGGUGGUACAUUUCCACUCCUGGCUGUGUCAGGACAAUGCGCCAGUGUGCUCCCCUCCUUCUCCUGCCUCCCCUUUCGUGGGCCAAGUGAGUGAGCGAGCGGUGAGGGCCAGGGUUGUAAAUUCCUCCGAAAGAGCAGUUAAGAAGGCUCCCAUUAAAACGGGGAUCGACGCUCGCCAUAAAGGAGCCGAAGAAAUGAGUCAUCACCUGGAGCCUGAAGGGUUCCAGAGCCUGCAGAACCACAGAGGAGAGGAACUGUAGAAAUAGAACGGAUAGAACAUACUGUAUCUUUCAUUUCAGAUGUAUACAACUUAGUCCAACUAAGUUGAGAUGCCAAAGAAGCAUUGUGAUUAGAUGACAUGAGCGUUAUAAUUGUGACAUAAAACAACAAUGUCA
Oncorhynchus tshawytscha (Chinook salmon) is the source of this 1764-nucleotide long non-coding RNA. Lineage: Eukaryota; Metazoa; Chordata; Actinopteri; Salmoniformes; Salmonidae. The record is from Ensembl.